GCAAGAAGAACCUGUGAUUGUAAAACCAAUGCCAGGAAAACCAAAUACACAAAACCCUCCACGGAGAGGUCCUCUGAGCCAGAAUGGCUCUUUUGGCCCAUCCCCUGUGAGUGGUGGAGAAUGCUCCCCUCCAUUGACAGUGGAGCCACCUGUGAGACCUCUCUCUGCUACUCUCAAUCGAAGAGAUAUGCCUAGAAGUGAAUUUGGAUCAGUGGACGGGCCUCUACCUCAUCCUCAAUGGUCAGCUGAGGCAUCUGGGAAACCCUCUCCUUCUGAUCCAGGAUCUGGUACAGCUACCAUGAUGAACAGCAGCUCAAGAGGCUCUUCCCCUACCAGGGUACUCGAUGAAGGCAAGAUUGAUAACAGAAGAAUGUUUGCUGGAAGUGAAAUACUGAAUAGUGGAAGUCUAUAAUUACCUGUUGAGCCAGUUCCCAGCAGUGUCCUUAAACAGUGUCCACAUAAGUGUAUUCUCUUGUAACUUGUAUAGCUGUUAUGGCUGGUUAAUAUGGCUCCAAAAGGGCCCCCUCCUUUCCCAGGAGUCCCUCUCAUGAG
RNAcentral lists this small RNA (552 nucleotides) under Pongo abelii (Sumatran orangutan). RNAcentral describes it as "processed transcript". The record is from RNAcentral. Lineage: Eukaryota; Metazoa; Chordata; Mammalia; Primates; Hominidae.